UACAGAGGUCUCAAGCGUUGUUCGGAUUCAUUGGGCGUAAAGGGUGCGUAGGCGGCGCGGUAAGUCGGGUGUGAAAUUUCGAGGCUUAACUUCGAAACUGCAUUCGAUACUGCGGUGCUUGAGGACUGGAGAGGAGACUGGAAUUCAUGGUGUAGCAGUGAAAUGCGUAGAGAUCAUGAGGAAGACCAGUGGCGAAGGCGGGUCUCUGGACAGUUCCUGACACUGAGGCACGAAGGCCAGGGGGAGCAAACGGG
This 254-nucleotide ribosomal RNA is filed under the name uncultured bacterium. Its description in RNAcentral is "partial 16S ribosomal RNA". It matches the Rfam family "Bacterial small subunit ribosomal RNA", at positions 524 to 776 of the family's 1533-position model. The record is from RNAcentral.